GACGAACGCUGGCGGCGUGCUUAACACAUGCAAGUCGAACGAAAAGCGAUGGAAGCUUGCUUCUGUCAGUCUUAGUGGCGGACGGGUGAGUCACGCGUAAUCAACCUUCCCUUCAGAGGGGGACAACAGUUGGAAACGACUGCUCAUACUGCAUACGAUCUAAUCUCGGCAUCGAGGGGAGAUGAAAGGUGGCCGCGACAUGUAAGCUAUCACUUCAGGAGGGGAGUGCGUCUGUUUAGCUAGUUGGAGGGGUCAAGGCGCACCAAGGCGAUGAUCAGUAGCAGGUCUGAGAGGAUGAGUAGCCGCAUUGAGAGGGUGACAGGGCACAGACGGAUACGGGAGGCAGCAGUACGGAUUCGGCAGCAAGGGAUGAAAGUCUGACGGAGAUACGCGGAGGGAGGGAUGACGGCCGUCGGGUUGGAGAGGUCUGUUAAUCGGGAGGAAAGGGCUUCUGGCGAAUAGGGAGAAGGAUUGACGGUACCGGGAUAGAAAGCCACGGCUAACUACGUG
This 510-nucleotide ribosomal RNA is filed under the name uncultured bacterium. RNAcentral describes it as "partial 16S ribosomal RNA". It matches the Rfam family "Bacterial small subunit ribosomal RNA", at positions 28 to 507 of the family's 1533-position model. The record is from RNAcentral.